RNAcentral lists this ribosomal RNA (253 nucleotides) under uncultured bacterium. RNAcentral's name for it is "partial 16S ribosomal RNA". It matches the Rfam family "Bacterial small subunit ribosomal RNA", at positions 524 to 776 of the family's 1533-position model. The record is from RNAcentral.
UACGGAGGGGGCUAGCGUUGUUCGGAUUCACUGGGCGUAAAGGGUGCGUAGGUGGCCGGGUAAGUCUGACGUGAAAUCUCCGAGCCUAACUCGGAAACUGCAUCGGAUACUAUCCGGCUUGAGGGUUGGAGGGGGGACUGGAAUACUUGGUGUAGCAGUGAAAUGCGUAGAUAUCAAGUGGAACACCAGUGGCGAAGGCGAGUCCCUGGACAACUCCUGACACUGAGGCACGAAAGCUAGGGGAGCAAACAGG